Molecule: long non-coding RNA, 1702 nt
Filed under: Triticum aestivum (bread wheat)
Lineage: Eukaryota; Viridiplantae; Streptophyta; Magnoliopsida; Poales; Poaceae
Description: long non-coding RNA (TAES_LNC024245)
Source: RNAcentral
UCCACCAAAACCAUCAAGAUCAAUGCUAAGAGAAUUCAAGAGAAUAUAAACACAAUGAUACAAACAAUUUAAAGGAAAUUUGUGUAUAUUCACAAACUAAAUGUUAGUACCAGCAAUUGCUUUUGUCUGUUCAGCGACAACUGGGACAACAGACAAAACAAUGGGCAUAUUGGUAGGUGCAGACCACAAAUGAAGCAACUCUCUCUCCAGGCGCAUAACGUGUCGAACAACAGAGACCACAAUAACUAUGGAUGAACGUGCAGAUCUCCUAUAGGCCAUCAUACAACCAUAGUUAUAGUCAUGGACGACGAAUCCAUAUAGCCCUUGUAAAAAACAUAUGGCGUGUAAAUCAGCUUGUUCAUAAGCAUUCAUGAACCCACAACAGGCUGAGCCCCAAAAAAACUCUCGCCGAGGCACUCGACGAGAACCAUCCCCGGGAGAGCUCAGGCUCUACCCCAGUAAGGACAGAGCUAGCCAUCUUCUGUGACCUCCCACAGGUACAAAAGGGAUGGCAAAGCGCAUUCGGCCACCACAACCUCCAAAAUAGGAAUAACAACCGAAACAAAUGCACACAUCCUGCUGACAUGUAAGAACGAAAUAUAUAAUAAAGUAGAUGACUCCCGGCCAUGUCCGGAACAUACACUGAAACAAUUAAGAGGCUAUAGAACAUGAAAGUACAAACAGAAAGUAGAGCAGCAAGACAGGCAGAGUCACAUAGCAGCAAACCUUGACAAGGCCGGACGAGCAGAAUGGAGACGCAGUAAUGAGCUAAACGGAGAUUGUGCACGAGAUCAGUAAAAGAUGGAACAACCUGCAAAAUAGCAAGGGAAACGAAUGGUCAGCAUAAGACAACGGCGUGCAACUAUAUAUGAUCUAUAAAAAACAAACCAACUGUAAUUCGAAAGACAAGAUCACAUGCCAUCGUCAAACAAUCAGUCCAUAAAGAUCAUUAGUACAUAAAAGAUCAGAACACAGGAGAAAGAACGAGUAUUGAGUGUUUCUUUGCGUGCGACCCUACACACGUGCGAAAGGGCUGAGAAAGCACACGUGCUGCAAUGGCAUUCCAAAAUAGGUGCAACGAUGGAAACAAAAGCGUUCAUCCAUUCAAACGCAAACAGCAAACAAGCAACAAAAUAAAAGCAAAACAAAAAGAUACAUCGCCUUUUAACAUCACUAUUUUACAAAAGUAUCAGCGUCAUCAUAUCCUCAUACAAGUAGCGGAAACUAACACAACGAACCACGCACAACUAAUGCGAGAUGAAAACACAUGGCACCAGACAAAUAUUUCAUCAAACAGCCCUCGCGCAUUUCAUCAAACACCUAACAGGCACGCACCCAUAGAGAAGUAGAGGAGGCGCGCACUAACCUGGACAGCAAGGACUGAAUGACCCACACUCCUACGAAGGAGCCAACGUGAAAACCAGGCAAACUUUGCAUGAAGGGAGCAAAUGGAAACAUACGGGAUCAGUAAAUUGCAGCAACAACGGCAGUAAAGAACCGGAGGAGCAGAAUAGAAAGAACCUCAACCAACAGCACCCAUGGAGGAACGGAUGGCCAUGGUGCAGGCGCUCGAAUGGGACGAAGCGAGGCGACGAACAGAGCGAGCAGUAGGGCGGAAAGGAGGACGAUAGCGAGUGGGCGAAGCGAGCGAGCAGCCUGGGCAUGCCAGACGCACGCGACGCGGUAGCAGCCCCACGAAGUG